RNAcentral lists this ribosomal RNA (397 nucleotides) under uncultured bacterium. RNAcentral describes it as "partial 16S ribosomal RNA". It matches the Rfam family "Bacterial small subunit ribosomal RNA", at positions 523 to 918 of the family's 1533-position model. The record is from RNAcentral.
AUACGUAGGGGGCAAGCGUUGUCCGGAAUGAUUGGGCGUAAAGGGCGCGUAGGCGGCCCGGUAAGUCUGAAGUGAAAGUCCUGGUUUUAAGCUGGGAAUUGCUUUGGAUACUGUCGGGCUUGAGUGCAGGAGAGGUAAGUGGAAUUACCAGUGUAGCGGUGAAAUGCGUAGAGAUUGGGAGGAACACCAGUGGCGAAGGCGACUUACUGGACUGUAACUGACGCUGAGGCGCGAAAGUGUGGGGAGCAAACAGGAUUAGAUACCCUGGUAGUCCACACUGUAAACGAUGAAUGCUAGGUGUAGGGGGUAUCGACCCCUUCUGUGCCGCAGUAAACACAAUAAGCAUUCCGCCUGGGGAGUACGGCCGCAAGGUUGAAACUUAAAGGAAUCGACGGGG